RNAcentral lists this long non-coding RNA (838 nucleotides) under Salmo salar (Atlantic salmon). Its description in RNAcentral is "lncRNA (ENSSSAG00000091980.1)". Lineage: Eukaryota; Metazoa; Chordata; Actinopteri; Salmoniformes; Salmonidae. The record is from RNAcentral.
GGAACAGAAAUCAGCUGAGAGGAAGGAAGGAGUUGAACAUUGUGUUUAUACGGUGAAGAGAACGUGACCUGGGAUAGAAGGUGAGUGGACAGAGACGAUCCCAUGAUGCCGUUCAGCCAGACAGAUCCCAGUUUACAGCUUCCAGCAGGGGGGAGGAAAUGACCACAACACAGGAAGUUACAUAGCAGCUCUUCCUCUUCCUAUUGGUUGAGAGGGCAUUGACCUCCACUGUGGAGAGUUAAGGUCCUACCUAUGAGCAGUGGAUCAGACCAUAGCUGAUUACUGACCCCACUCGUCUCUCUCAGGUCCCGUCCCGUCCCCCAGUCUCUCUCAGGUCCCGUCCCCCAGUCUCUCUCGGGUCCGGUCCCGUCCCCCAGUCUCUCUCGGGUCCAGUCCCGUCUCUCUCAGGUCCAGUCCCGUCCCCCGUCCCCCUCAGGUCCAGUCCCCAGUCUCUCUCAGGUCCGGUCCCGUCCCCACCAGAGCCAGCCAGUCAGUGCCGCGUGGCCUCUAUCGCCUCCUGGUGGACAGAGUGGAGGUAGUACGGCUCAGGCUGAGCCCAGGGAAGUGAACUGUAGGGGUUCUGGGUGUGGGACCGUAGAGACCCAGGUUACGGGCUGCAGAUGAACGUCUGUGCUGUUUCACACUCGGGAAGGGAGAGAACACCUGACGGGAGGUGGUCCUGGGAUGGUCCUGGGGCACGGAGGGGCAGGAGAGAGGGAGGGAGGGGGUAACGGGGCUGUGGGGGUUAGAGGUGGUCCUGGGAUGGUCCUGGGGCACGGAGGGGCAGGAGAGAGGGAGGGAGGGGGUAACAGGGCUACCAGGGCUGUGAGGGUUAGAG